AGGACGAACGCUGGCGGCGUGCUUAACACAUGCAAGUCGAACGAUGAAGCGGUGCUUGCACCGUGGAUUAGUGGCGAACGGGUGAGUAAUACGUGAGUGACCUACCUUUGACUCUGGGAUAAGCCUGGGAAACUGGGUCUAAUACCGGAUACGACCAAUCUCUGCAUGGGGUGUUGGUGGAAAGCGUUAUGGAGUGGUUUUAGAUGGGCUCACGGCCUAUCAGCUUGUUGGUGAGGUAAUGGCUUACCAAGGCGACGACGGGUAGCCGGCCUGAGAGGGUGACCGGCCACACUGGGACUGAGACACGGCCCAGACUCCUACGGGAGGCAGCAGUGGGGAAUAUUGCACAAUGGGCGCAAGCCUGAUGCAGCGACGCCGCGUGAGGGAUGACGGCCUUCGGGUUGUAAACCUCUGUUAGCAUCGAAGAAGCGAAAGUGACGGUAGGUGCAGAGAAAGCGCCGGCUAACUACGUGCCAGCAGCCGCGGUAAUACGUAGGGCGCGAGCGUUGUCCGGAAUUAUUGGGCGUAAAGAGCUUGUAGGCGGUUGGUCGCGUCUGCUGUGAAAGGCCGGGGCUUAACUCCGGUUUUGCAGUGGGUACGGGCUAACUAGAGUGCAGUAGGGGAGACUGGAAUUCCUGGUGUAGCGGUGGAAUGCACAGAUAUCAGGAGGAACACCGAUGGCGAAGGCAGGUCUCUGGGCUGUAACUGACGGCUGAGAAGCGAAAGCAUGGGGAGCGAACAGGAUUAGAUACCCUGGUAGUCCAUGCCGUAAACGUUGGGCACUAGGUGUGGAGGACAUUCCACGUUUUCCGCGCCGUAGCUAACGCAUUAAGUGCCCCGCCUGGGGAGUACGGCCGCAAGGCUAAAACUCAAAGGAAUUGACGGGGGCCCGCACAAGCGGCGGAGCAUGCGGAUUAAUUCGAUGCAACGCGAAGAACCUUACCAAGGCUUGACAUGCAUUAGAUCGCGUCAGAGAUGGCGUUUCCCUUCGGGGCUGGUGUACAGGUGGUGCAUGGUUGUCGUCAGCUCGUGUCGUGAGAUGUUGGGUUAAGUCCCGCAACGAGCGCAACCCUCGUUCUAUGUUGCCAGCGGUUCGGCCGGGGACUCAUAGGAGACUGCCGGGGUUAACUCGGAGGAAGGUGGGGAUGACGUCAAAUCAUCAUGCCCCUUAUGUCUUGGGCUUCACGCAUGCUACAAUGGCCGGUACAGAGGGUUGCGAUACUGUGAGGUGGAGCUAAUCCCUUAAAGCCGGUCUCAGUUCGGAUUGGGGUCUGCAACUCGACCCCAUGAAGUCGGAGUCGCUAGUAAUCGCAGAUCAGCAACGCUGCGGUGAAUACGUUCCCGGGCCUUGUACACACCGCCCGUCAAGUCACGAAAGUUGGUAACACCCGAAGCCGGUGGCCUAACCCUUGUGGGGGGGAGCCGUCGAAGGUGGGAUUGGCGAUUGGG
Molecule: ribosomal RNA, 1449 nt
Filed under: uncultured organism
Description: 16S ribosomal RNA
Rfam family: Bacterial small subunit ribosomal RNA
Source: RNAcentral